CCCUUAGACGUUCUGGGCCGCACGCGCGCUACACUGACAAAGGCAACGAGCUUUCCUUUACCGAAAGGUACGGGUAAUCUUUUGAAACUUCGUCGUGCUGGGGAUAGAUCCUUGCAAUUUUUGAUCUUAAACGAGGAAUGCCUAGUAAGCGCGAGUCAUCAGCUCGCGCUGAUUACGUCCCUGCCCUUUGUACACACCGCCCGUCGCUGCAACUGAUUGGGUGACCUGGUGAACAUCUUGGACCGGCUUGCCCAUUUUUGGACGAGUUGGAAAAGGACGUAAAUCAGGUACAUCUAGAAAUUGCAAAAGUCGUAACA
RNAcentral lists this ribosomal RNA (317 nucleotides) under uncultured eukaryote. RNAcentral's name for it is "partial 18S ribosomal RNA". It matches the Rfam family "Eukaryotic small subunit ribosomal RNA", at positions 1470 to 1796 of the family's 1831-position model. The record is from RNAcentral.